UACGAAGGGGGAUAGCGUUGUUCGGAAUUACUGGGCGUAAAGCGUGCGCAGGCGGCCUUCCAAGUCAGGGGUGAAAGCCCAGAGCUCAACUCUGGAAUUGCCUUUGAGACUGUGAGGCUUGAGUACGGGAGAGGUGGAGUGGAAUUCCCAGUGUAGAGGUGAAAUUCGUAGAUAUUGGGAAGAACACCGGUGGCGAAGGCGGCUCACUGGCCCGAAACUGACGCUCAUGCACGACAGCGUGGGGAUCAAACAGG
RNAcentral lists this ribosomal RNA (254 nucleotides) under uncultured bacterium. RNAcentral's name for it is "partial 16S ribosomal RNA". It matches the Rfam family "Bacterial small subunit ribosomal RNA", at positions 524 to 776 of the family's 1533-position model. The record is from RNAcentral.